RNAcentral lists this long non-coding RNA (1821 nucleotides) under Gallus gallus (chicken). RNAcentral's name for it is "long non-coding RNA NONGGAT003577". The record is from RNAcentral. Lineage: Eukaryota; Metazoa; Chordata; Aves; Galliformes; Phasianidae.
CCGAGUCCGAGCUGUCCUCACAGCCGCUGCCGUCCAGGUUCAUCUGGAGGAGUUGGUCGAUGGUGGCGUCCACGGCACCGUUGUUGGCCCUCAAAACGCACUCGAUGAUGUCAUAGUCCAUAUUGGGGAACAUGGUCUUGAAGUCCUCCAUGGCCUGGUUGAACUCCAGCCGGCGCACCUGCCUGGCGGGGCGGCUGUUGUUGAGCUCCUGUGCCGAGGAGCCGCCGCGUGAGCCACCAUUGCUGCUGCUGCGCCGAAAGAGGCUCGUCAUGGCGGUGGUCGUGGUGAGGUGGGCACUUCGUCACGGGGCACGGCCCCGGCUGCCGGCCGGGAGCAUGGGUGGGCGGCGGGGGCACUGCUCCCCACAGCCAGAGCUCCACACGUCAGCCCCCGGCGCGCUGCAGCAUCCCAGCACCUGCGGGCACAGGGAGAUGUCACAAAGUCACCUCUGGUGAGACGUGGGGCCCCAAGGAUGGGGGCGGCUUUGAGCCCCCCAGAGCCAGGACCAGCAGCUGGACUGAAGCACAAGCCCCAGUGCGUGGCCAGGGAACUGCAGGCAGGGGCUGCACGAGGACACUGCUGGUGUGAAGAAAGCACCCAGGGCACAGCAAGAUCUCAGAGGGGGAAAUUCAAUUGAACUCAAACUAUCCAACUGCACCCCCGUGUGUGCAGCACGUCCCCAGGACGGCAUCCAGGAGCUCAGGUCGCCGUGCCAGGCGCCGCACAAACCAAACACAGCGAGGGGAGAAAAAUGGUACCACUUCCACUGCAGAGGGCCCCACAGAUUGAACAUUCGCAGGUCUGACGUUUGUUUAUAAACACAGUGAAAUCUCUCUUUAAAAUAAAAGAUGGAGUCAUCUCAGUGCAGGGGGCUAAAGCAUUUUGCAGCACAGCAAAUCGACCCUUGGGAAAAGCCACCAAAUCCAAGAUUAACAUUCGCUCUAAAACCAUAAACAGAUUAUAUACAGCUACUGCCUCUCAUUUGGAAAUGCAGGGACAAAUUCAGUUCUGGAUUAACUCCGCCGUUUAAAAAGAAUUACCCCAAGAACACUUUUGAUCCCUAAUAUCAUUUUCAAAGUCUUUUUCCCAAGUAGCAGGCAGAGAGUUCAAGAUAACUGUCCCUACAUUUGUAUUUAAUUGAGAAGAACAUGCCAAGCACAUUUCUUAGUAAAACACUGCAUAAUCAGAUUGAAACCCAUUAAGCAGAGCGGCCGCCUCUGAAGGUCACCCGGUGCCCCACGCCCUGCACAGGGCCACGCUGCACGUGGGAGCCCAGCCCGGGGAUCACCGGGGAGCCUCAUCCCAUCCCUGUCGGUCAGGCUCUGCUCUGGCACGCUGGGAGCGGUUACGAGGCUUUGGGCAACUCGGUUACGUUGAGCCCACACCAGAUAGCGUGACUGGGAGCAGCUGCCUGCAGAAUAAUUGAAAGCUUCUGGUCCUAAGAUGAAAAAAAUGAGGGAUGGGGACAUCUGAAUGCCAAAAAGGCUCCACUGCACGUCUGGCUCUGAGCAACACCAAGGGACUGCACCGUGAAGACAUCCUGCUGAUGAUGUGGAGAAAUGAAAAGCACUACAUCAUCGUGAGCUAAAAUCUGGAGAAAAGCAAGUCACCUAUUGGCACGACUUAACUAGAAAGCUGAAAGUUCCACGCCCAGGAUCCUCCUCUGUGCCUGUGCUUAGGGUGGGAAGCAGAAUCUCCACUGCUGGCUGCUGCCUCGAUGCCAGCAAGGGGCUGGGAAGGCGCCAGGAAAAGCAAAAUCCUUUAGAUUGCCCAAAAAGGAAGGAAGAAAGCUGGCAGCCAACUGUGACCCGAGGCGAGGGC